This 497-nucleotide ribosomal RNA is filed under the name uncultured bacterium. RNAcentral describes it as "partial 16S ribosomal RNA". It matches the Rfam family "Bacterial small subunit ribosomal RNA", at positions 28 to 507 of the family's 1533-position model. The record is from RNAcentral.
GAUGAACGCUGGCGGCGUGCCUAAUACAUGCAAGUCGAGCGAACAGAUGAGGAGCUUGCUCCUCUGACGUUAGCGGCGGGCGGGUGAGUAACACGUGGAUAACCUACCUAUAAGACUGGUAUAACUUCGGGACACCGGAGCUUAUACCGGAUAAUAUCUUGAACCGCAUGGUUCAAUAGUGAAAGACGGUUUUGCUGUCACUUAUCGCUGGAUCCCGGCCGCAUUAGCUAGUUGGUAAGGUAACGGCUUACCAAGGCAACGAUGCGUAGCCGACCUGAGGGAGGGAUCGGCCACACUGGAGCUUAAACAGGGUCCAGACUCCUACGGGAGGCAGCAGUAGGGAAUCUUCCGCAAUGGGCGAAAGCCUGACGGAGCAACGCCGCGUGAGUGAUGAAGGUGUUCGGAUCGUAAAACUCUGUUAUUAGGGAAGAACAAAUGUGUAAGUAACUAUGCACGUCUUGACGGUACCUAAUCAGAAAGCCACGGCUAACUACGUG